AGUGAAAAGCGAAAACAGGGUACUAAUGUAGGUCUUUCCUAACAGUCGCCGUAAAGUGAACGUUCGAAAAGCGGGGGGACACCUGUAGUGGCGAGCUCUCGACUCGGCCCGGGAACAGUAGACAGCGGUUCUUGAUUCCCGCCGGCGGGUUAACUGACGGACCCACCUCGGUGACGAAACUUUACAGGCUCGUUUUGGCGGGGUAACGACAUGGUUCCUCCGCUGAGGAAAGGCCAAUUACCCGCACUCACUUAGGCCGGAGACUAGGCUUGCUCUGGCCAGAUGACUUUGCAAACACUCUCGCGCCGAACAGCUGAAAGCCGGAGACUAUAAACUACCGGUUUAGCCAAGAGUAAAUUGCCUCUGAUCAUCAAGGCCGAGGGACACGUGAAAACAUAAAACCAAAGGGGAACAGGGAGUCAACGGUCCGGAUCGGAAUGUAAACAAAGUAAAUUUAAAGAAACCCCGAUCCGGACCGUGACCCCUUCGGAAAGAAGGAGGAGAGUCAGUACCAACUCCCGUCUUUGUGGUCAGGCUGGUCCCGUAAAAGCCAACGCUCGCUCGUACAGAGGGGACUACGGGCGAGCAGUACUUCCUUCCCCCUCUCCGUCACUCGAACCCUGAUACCUGCUUUUAUACUGACUGAAGGGAGGAGACGCACCGAUUCAGUUUUUAUCGACACUGGGGCUGAGGGAAACUUUAGGUUCCAGUUUUGAGGCCAAUCUCGGGAUGCCACUCUCCCGUCUGAAGCAACCCCUGGAGGCCAGCGCCGUAACCGGAGUGAAAUUUACCACGGUUACCCACUCUACAGCUCCGGUUAUCACCAUUCCAGUGCUGUCUUGGCUAGCAACCCCCCUUAUUCACAUCUCAGGAGGAGGAAGUGGGCAUUCCCUCAGCUGAAGUGUUUGUCCAGAGGUGUUCACGGACCUGGAGACAAGCCCGAAAGGCACUGCUUCAAUCUAUGUCGUGGUUUUACAAAUGACAAAGAGGCGCCGAAGAUUCUUCGAGAAAUGUUUGAACUUUAAUUUGCAAAGUAAAGCUGAGACAGACAGUGGGCUAGCCUUUGAAUGCCCACCACUGAAUGCCUGUCGAUGUUUUCACAUAGCAUUCUUUAUAGCACCCCUUCUGGGUUAACAGCAUUAGCAUAUCGCUGUAAGUUUCAAUCUAGCUAAUAAAUCAAUUACUCUUA
Mobula hypostoma (lesser devil ray) is the source of this 1189-nucleotide long non-coding RNA. RefSeq lists it as uncharacterized. NCBI's taxonomy places the organism in Eukaryota, Metazoa, Chordata, Chondrichthyes, Myliobatiformes, Myliobatidae. The transcript has 2 exons. The record is from RefSeq and is a predicted model, not a curated record.